RNAcentral lists this ribosomal RNA (450 nucleotides) under uncultured bacterium. Its description in RNAcentral is "partial 16S ribosomal RNA". It matches the Rfam family "Bacterial small subunit ribosomal RNA", at positions 354 to 796 of the family's 1533-position model. The record is from RNAcentral.
GUGGGGAAUUUUGGACAAUGGGGGCAACCCUGAUCCAGCCAUGCCGCGUGCGGGAAGAAGGCCUUCGGGUUGUAAACCGCUUUUGUCAGGGAAGAAAUCCUUUGGGUUAAUACCUCGGAGGGAUGACGGUACCUGAAGAAUAAGCACCGGCUAACUACGUGCCAGCAGCCGCGGUAAUACGUAGGGUGCGAGCGUUAAUCGGAAUUACUGGGCGUAAAGCGUGCGCAGGCGGUUUUGUAAGAUCGCUGUGAAAUCCCCGGGCUCAACCUGGGAACUGCAUUGGUGACUGCAAGGCUGGAGUGCGGCAGAGGGGGAUGGAAUUCCGCGUGUAGCAGUGAAAUGCGUAGAUAUGCGGAGGAACACCGAUGGCGAAGGCAAUCCCCUGGGCCUGCACUGACGCUCAUGCGCGAAAGCGUGGGGAGCAAACAGGAUUAGAUACCCGUGUAGUCC